RNAcentral lists this ribosomal RNA (695 nucleotides) under Pseudomonas sp. Y4_345_1. RNAcentral describes it as "bacterial SSU rRNA". It matches the Rfam family "Bacterial small subunit ribosomal RNA", at positions 59 to 749 of the family's 1533-position model. The record is from RNAcentral. Lineage: Bacteria; Pseudomonadati; Pseudomonadota; Gammaproteobacteria; Pseudomonadales; Pseudomonadaceae.
CAGUCGAGCGGUAGAGAGAAGCUUGCUUCUCUUGAGAGCGGCGGACGGGUGAGUAAUGCCUAGGAAUCUGCCUGGUAGUGGGGGAUAACGUUCGGAAACGGACGCUAAUACCGCAUACGUCCUACGGGAGAAAGCAGGGGACCUUCGGGCCUUGCGCUAUCAGAUGAGCCUAGGUCGGAUUAGCUAGUUGGUGGGGUAAUGGCUCACCAAGGCGACGAUCCGUAACUGGUCUGAGAGGAUGAUCAGUCACACUGGAACUGAGACACGGUCCAGACUCCUACGGGAGGCAGCAGUGGGGAAUAUUGGACAAUGGGCGAAAGCCUGAUCCAGCCAUGCCGCGUGUGUGAAGAAGGUCUUCGGAUUGUAAAGCACUUUAAGUUGGGAGGAAGGGUUGUAGAUUAAUACUCUGCAAUUUUGACGUUACCGACAGAAUAAGCACCGGCUAACUCUGUGCCAGCAGCCGCGGUAAUACAGAGGGUGCAAGCGUUAAUCGGAAUUACUGGGCGUAAAGCGCGCGUAGGUGGUUUGUUAAGUUGGAUGUGAAAUCCCCGGGCUCAACCUGGGAACUGCAUUCAAAACUGACUGACUAGAGUAUGGUAGAGGGUGGUGGAAUUUCCUGUGUAGCGGUGAAAUGCGUAGAUAUAGGAAGGAACACCAGUGGCGAAGGCGACCACCUGGACUAAUACUGACACUGA